RNAcentral lists this RNase P RNA (288 nucleotides) under Flavobacteriaceae bacterium. Its description in RNAcentral is "RNase P RNA component class A". It matches the Rfam family "Bacterial RNase P class A". From Rfam's summary of the family: Ribonuclease P (RNase P) is a ubiquitous endoribonuclease, found in archaea, bacteria and eukarya as well as chloroplasts and mitochondria. The record is from RNAcentral. Lineage: Bacteria; Pseudomonadati; Bacteroidota; Flavobacteriia; Flavobacteriales; Flavobacteriaceae.
UUGGCAGGUCUCCUUAUCGCUUUUUUAAAGAGGAAAGUCCGGACACCAAAGAGCUUUGUAGCGGGUAACACCCGUCGCUAUUUUUAGUAGGAAAAGUGCAACAGAAAGUAUGUACAGUUAGGCUGUAGUGGAAUCAUGUAAACUCUACAAGGUGAAACGCCAAGUAAAUCAACGUUUGAGGGUUGCUCGUCCGAUGUUGAAGGGUAGGCGGAUAGAGUUUAGUAGUAAUACUAAAUCAAGAUAGAUGAUAAGGCAUGACAGAAUCCGGCUUAUAGACCUGCCUUUAUA